UACGUAGGGGGCAAGCGUUGUCCGGAAUUAUUGGGCGUAAAGGGCGCGUAGGCGGUGCGGUAAGUCACCUGUGAAAACUCUGGGCUCAACUCAGAGCCUGCAGGCGAAACUGCCGUGCUUGAGUGUGGGAGAGGUGCGUGGAAUUCCCGGUGUAGCGGUGAAAUGCGUAGAGAUCGGGAAGAACAUCGGUGGCGAAAGCGCUCUACUGGACCGCAACUGACACUCAGGGACGAAAGCUAGGGGAGCGAAUGGG
RNAcentral lists this ribosomal RNA (253 nucleotides) under uncultured bacterium. Its description in RNAcentral is "partial 16S ribosomal RNA". It matches the Rfam family "Bacterial small subunit ribosomal RNA", at positions 524 to 776 of the family's 1533-position model. The record is from RNAcentral.